Molecule: transfer RNA, 65 nt
Filed under: Hymenocera picta
Lineage: Eukaryota; Metazoa; Arthropoda; Malacostraca; Decapoda; Palaemonidae
Description: tRNA-Asn
Source: RNAcentral
UUAACUAAAACCAAAAAGAGGUGUGCCACUGUUAAUGACAUAAUUGAGUAUUAACUCUAGUUAAG